UUGAAUGGUCUUUGACCUUCUACCCUUAAAACAUGUGGAAGCAAAUAUCGUGCUUCGGCCUCCCUUUGGGGUGGCCGCUUUUAUGCAGAAACCCGUAUGUUGUCUGAAUGAAAAACAUUACAAUCA
Molecule: unclassified non-coding RNA, 126 nt
Filed under: uncultured Archaeorhizomyces
Lineage: Eukaryota; Fungi; Ascomycota; Archaeorhizomycetes; Archaeorhizomycetales; Archaeorhizomycetaceae
Description: sequence contains ITS1
Source: RNAcentral